Molecule: microRNA precursor, 105 nt
Filed under: Hordeum vulgare
Lineage: Eukaryota; Viridiplantae; Streptophyta; Magnoliopsida; Poales; Poaceae
Description: microRNA MIR1122
Rfam family: MIR1120/MIR1122 microRNA precursor family
Source: RNAcentral
AAAAUACUCCCUCCGUCCCAAAAUAAGUGUCUCAAGCCUAAUACAAGUUUGUACUAGUGCUAGUACAAAGUUGAGACACUUAUUUUGGGACGGAGGGAGUAUAAC